Arachis ipaensis is the source of this 1107-nucleotide non-coding RNA. The record is from RefSeq and is a predicted model, not a curated record. NCBI's taxonomy places the organism in Eukaryota, Viridiplantae, Streptophyta, Magnoliopsida, Fabales, Fabaceae.
UUCUGGGGAUACUUCCACCGUUAUCUGAAGCCUGCAAAUGGAGAUUUAUUCUAUGGUCUAUUCUGAUUUUGGCCUAGCACGUGAGAUCAGUUCACAACCACCCUACACUGAGUAUGUCUCCACACGGUGGUAUCGUGCUUCUGAAGUGCUACUUCAAUCUUAUCUGUAUAGCUCCAAAGUUGACAUGUGGGCAAUGGGUGCUAUAAUGGCUGAAUUGUUCUCUCUUCGUCCUCUUUUCCCUGGUGCCAGAAUCAGACUAUUUCGUGAACAGUAUUGUAUGACAAGAAGACUGGAACUAAUUUGCUUCAAUGGCCAGUGGAAGAAAUAGAGAGCUUGAGACUUAGCAGUGAUGAAUUUAAAGAAUUAUUGGUUAAACCUGGCACAGUAGUGCCAUUACACAUUGGCCCUGCAACACAGGAUUUUUCCAUAGUUAUUGGUUGCAUUGUUACAACUUGUAUCUCACAGUAAUCAUGGUUUUACUUUACAUUUUCCUGAUUUUUAUUUAUUUAUUUAUUUAUUUUUUGUUGUUCAGUUGGACAUAUUUUUUGGACCAUUUGGCAUUUUGGCUAUUGCAAAUGACCAACUUUCUGAACUAACACCAAUUUAUUUCUGUCUUUCAAAUUAUGGAAAUGGAACCUCAACUACUACAACUAUUACUACUUCUACUUCUACUUCCUUCUGUGUUGAUGAAACUAGGUCAUCAAAGGCACCUGAUGUAUCAAAGCUAGUUUUCGGAAGCAAAUUGCCUAUUCUAAGUGAUGAAAAACUAUCAUUGAAGGUAUUGCUUUUCGAGGCAAAAAAACGAGAGCGGGCCUUUACGAAUAGAGGACGUCGGAAUCAGUUGCGCUCAAUGGGAGAAGCCAAGAAUUUGCUUCAAUAUAUGUUCAAUUCAGUCGCAGAUGUUAGGUGCUCUAUUUGACAUCAAUUUAUUUUUUUCUCUUCUAUCAGAAGAUUAAUAACUUUUAUUAGAAGAUACUUAUGUAGAAUACAAUAUUUUGGUUUUUUAUAGUUUAUUAGUAGUAAAUUCUAAGUGGUCUAAUCUAAUGUAUAUUUUGAUAUGGGUAUAUUUAAUUUAGUGUGAGAUGUAUGAAUACUCAUUUAUGAUCA